RNAcentral lists this long non-coding RNA (1383 nucleotides) under Mus musculus (house mouse). RNAcentral describes it as "long non-coding RNA chr9:99668664-99670047". Lineage: Eukaryota; Metazoa; Chordata; Mammalia; Rodentia; Muridae. The record is from RNAcentral.
ACAUCCGUGAACAAUCUAGACAAUCCCUCACAGACAUUGCCCUCAAAGCACUUCCUCUGAGGAGGCUCUCCUCUUGGACAGUUCUCAGUUGUGACAAAUGGAUAUUUAAAACUAACCAGAACACCAUUCCACCCAGUCCAGGAUGACCCUGGAGAAAGCCCCAGAGUUGUGUUGUGUGGUGGAGCUUGGUCAUGGGCAAUAAAAAGAGCAAUCUGGAUGAAGCCUCUUGUCCCCAAUAGAACCAUAAAUUUAAUUUUUGAGAUUGUUUCUGAAUGAGAUUUUUUUAUAUAUAUUGACUGUAUUUUUGGGCAGAGAGGGGUUGGGUUUUAAAAAUAUUUUUAUUUAUUAUUAUUUUUUAUUUUUUUAUUUUUUUUGAGACAGGGUUUCCCUGUGUGGCCCUGGCUGUUCUGGAACUCUCUCUACAGCCUAGGCUGCUCUUGAACUCAGAGAUCUGCCUGCCUCUGCCUCCUGAGUGCUGAGAUUAAAGAUGUCCAUGGUGGCACGUAGCUUACAUUGUAUUUUUUUUUUUUAGUGUGAAAACAUUUAUUUAUUAUACUGAACAUUUAAAUAUAAUGAUGUAUACACCUCUUUAUUAUGUCGUUCUUUGUUAUUUUUUUCAAGCUUUGUGGCGACUGAGGGUGGUGAAGAGGGAGUGAAGCAGCUUCCACCUCAGUUGUACCAGCUUAGGGCCUUUGGGAUGCAGUGAUCGAGGUGUGGUAAGACAGCCAGUUUUACUGAGGUGCUUUACCUGGGCAAGGUAAAGGUGGCUGAAAUGGGGUCUGACAGCGGAAGAUUGCAGAGUGGAAAAAUGGAAAGGCAUGUUCUAGUCAGUGCUCUAUUGCUGUGAACAGACACCAUGAUUGUGGCCAGUCUUAUAAAGGCAAACAUUUAAGUAGAGCUGGCUUACAGUUUCAGAGGUUCAGUCCAUUGCCAUCAUGGAGGGGAGCAUGGGCACACAGGCAGACAUGGUUCAGGCAGCAGGAAGAGAGAGAUACUGGUCCUGGCUUGGGCUCUGAAACUUCAAAGCCCACCCCCAGUGACACACUUCCUCUAACAAGGCCACACCUCCACCAACAAGGCCACACUCCAUAAUCCUUUCAAAUAGUGCCACUCCCUGGUGACCAAGCAUUCAAAUCUGUGUGCCUGUAGGGGCCAUGCUUAUUCAAACUACCACAAGGCAGAAACAGGGAGAACCCAGACAGCAAUGCAGGGCUCUCACAGGAGAGCUACAGAGUCAGGACUGCCUACUGUAGUGUCCCCAAACCUUUGUUACUGCACUGUGCUUUAUCAUUGGCUGGGGGAUCCUGGGGUCGCAUGAGACCUCAGCUGUGAACUCUGUCAGCCAAUUAUAUUCCUUGCAUUUGAAUAGAGACUUUAAUAUCC